GGUUAAGCGACUAAGCGUACACGGUGGAUGCCCUGGCAGUCAGAGGCGAUGAAGGACGUGCUAAUCUGCGAAAAGCGCCGGCGAGGUGAUAUGAACCUUUGACCCGGCGAUGUCCGAAUGGGGAAACCCAGUGCAAUCCGUUGCACUAUCGUUAACUGAAUACAUAGGUUAACGAGGCGAACCGGGGGAACUGAAACAUCUAAGUACCCCGAGGAAAAGAAAUCAACCGAGAUUCCCCCAGUAGCGGCGAGCGAACGGGGAGCAGCCCGGAGUCUGAAUCAGCUUGUGUGUUAGUGGAACGGUCUGGAAAGUCCGACGGUACAGGGUGAUAGUCCCGUACACGAAAGCACACUUGCUGUGAACUCGAAGAGUAGGGCGGGACACGUGGUAUCCUGUCUGAAUAUGGGGGGACCAUCCUCCAAGGCUAAAUACUCCUGACUGACCGAUAGUGAACCAGUACCGUGAGGGAAAGGCGAAAAGAACCCCGGCGAGGGGAGUGAAAAAGAACCUGAAACCGUGUACGUACAAGCAGUGGGAGCCUCUUUAUGGGGUGACUGCGUACCUUUUGUAUAAUGGGUCAGCGACUUAUAUUCUGUAGCAAGGUUAACCGUAUAGGGGAGCCGAAGGGAAACCGAGUCUUAACUGGGCGUUAAGUUGCAGGGUAUAGACCCGAAACCCGGUGAUCUAGCCAUGGGCAGGUUGAAGGUUGGGUAACACUAACUGGAGGACCGAACCGACUAAUGUUGAAAAAUUAGCGGAUGACCUGUGGCUGGGGGUGAAAGGCCAAUCAAACCGGGAGAUAGCUGGUUCUCCCCGAAAGCUAUUUAGGUAGCGCCUCGUGAACUCAUCUUCGGGGGUAGAGCACUGUUUCGGCUAGGGGGCCAUCCCGGCUUACCAACCCGAUGCAAACUACGAAUACCGAAGAAUGUUAUCACGGGAGACACACGGCGGGUGCUAACGUCCGUCGUGAAGAGGGAAACAACCCAGACCGCCAGCUAAGGUCCCAAAGUCAUGGUUAAGUGGGAAACGAUGUGGGAAGGCACAGACAGCCAGGAUGUUGGCUUAGAAGCAGCCAUCAUUUAAAGAAAGCGUAAUAGCUCACUGGUCGAGUCGGCCUGCGCGGAAGAUGUAACGGGGCUAAACCAUGCACCGAAGCUGCGGCAGCGACGCUUAGGCGUUGUUGGGUAGGGGAGCGUUCUGUAAGCCGUUGAAGGUGU
This 1217-nucleotide ribosomal RNA is filed under the name Enterobacter hormaechei. RNAcentral's name for it is "partial 23S ribosomal RNA". It matches the Rfam family "Bacterial large subunit ribosomal RNA", at positions 1 to 1259 of the family's 2925-position model. Lineage: Bacteria; Pseudomonadati; Pseudomonadota; Gammaproteobacteria; Enterobacterales; Enterobacteriaceae. The record is from RNAcentral.